GAUGAACGCUGGCGGCGUGCCUAAUACAUGCAAGUAGAACGCUGAAGGAGGAGCUUGCUCUUCUGGAUGAGUUGCGAACGGGUGAGUAACGCGUAGGUAACCUGCCUGGUAGCGGGGGAUAACUAUUGGAAACGAUAGCUAAUACCGCAUGACAACAGUUAUUGCAUGAUAACUGUUUAAAGGGGCAACUGCUCCACUACCAGAUGGACCUGCGUUGUAUUAGCUAGUUGGUGAGGUAACGGCUCACCAAGGCGACGAUACAUAGCCGACCUGAGAGGGUGAUCGGCCACACUGGGACUGAGACACGGCCCAGACUCCUACGGGAGGCAGCAGUAGGGAAUCUUCGGCAAUGGACGGAAGUCUGACCGAGCAACGCCGCGUGAGUGAAGAAGGUUUUCGGAUCGUAAAGCUCUGUUGUAAGAGAAGAACGAGUGUGAGAGUGGAAAGUUCACACUGUGACGGUAUCUUACCAGAAAGGGACGGCUAACUACGUG
RNAcentral lists this ribosomal RNA (494 nucleotides) under uncultured bacterium. Its description in RNAcentral is "partial 16S ribosomal RNA". It matches the Rfam family "Bacterial small subunit ribosomal RNA", at positions 28 to 507 of the family's 1533-position model. The record is from RNAcentral.